UACGUAGGGGGCAAGCGUUGUCCGGAAUCAUUGGGCGUAAAGAGCGUGUAGGCGGCCCGGUAAGUCCGCCGUGAAAGUCCAGGGCUCAACCCUGGAAUGCCGGUGGAAACUGCCGGGCUGGAGUCCGGAAGAGGCGAGUGGAAUUCCUGGUGUAGCGGUGAAAUGCGCAGAUAUCAGGAGGAACACCAAUGGCGAAGACAGCUCGCUGGGACGGUACUGACGCUGAGACGCGAAAGCGUGGGGAGCAAACAGG
This 253-nucleotide ribosomal RNA is filed under the name uncultured bacterium. Its description in RNAcentral is "partial 16S ribosomal RNA". It matches the Rfam family "Bacterial small subunit ribosomal RNA", at positions 524 to 776 of the family's 1533-position model. The record is from RNAcentral.